Potamilus streckersoni is the source of this 70-nucleotide non-coding RNA. The record is from the annotation of a GenBank genome assembly. Lineage: Eukaryota; Metazoa; Mollusca; Bivalvia; Unionida; Unionidae.
GGUGGCUCAGUGGUUAGAGUACCAGAUUCACAAUUAUUGGGGUAUGGGUUUGAAUCCUAUAAAUGGACCA